AUUUCAAAACUUGAAUUAACUGAAAUAAAAAUUACAUUCAAAUUCAUAAAAACUAUUAAAUACCAAAUAGCAUCAUAUACUAAAAAUUUCAAUCACUGGAAACUUCCAACAAAUAGCAUCAUCAAAAUACAUGGUGAAUCAAAUCCAUAAUAAUAUCUCAUAAAUCCUUUACAAUAUCUAAUCACCAACCCAUCCUAGAAAAACAGUUAAUCCAUAAAAAAAAAAAAAAAACAUUGAUGGUAAAUUCUCAAAAGCCACCAACAUCACCUGAAAAACAAAUUACAUUAAGAUGAGUACCAAAAAAAUGCAAAUUAACGUAUUGGCCACUUAUAGUUAAUCAAAUUCAUAAGGAGUCAUCACACACUUCAAUAAUCAAGAAUAAUGAAGAAUUUUACAUAUGUAACAAAAACCUAUAAUUACUAACAACAAUCAAUGUAUCAUUUUUGAACUCUUAAAUUCCUUGUCUAGAACCUUUUGACAGCCUUUUAACUGGAAUUUCUUGCCUUUCUACCUAUGUACCACAGAUAUGCUAAUUAGUUAGUAUAAAAAGAAAACAUGAUUUAAUAUGAGCAUAAUACCACAAUAUUACCUUGUACACUGGCCCAAAUCUACCUUCUCCCAGUUUAUUGUAACUUAAGAAGUUAUUUGUGGCGUUUGCUAUACUGGCAUAAACAAAUUCCCAGGCCAUAUCUUAUUUUGCUCCUUCAUUAUUAUAAUUUUUUAUAUGAUUCAUCUUUGUUAAUCCUAAAAUUGUAGGAGAAUUCCAUCAUGGAUAGUGAAUUUAUUUAGCUACUAAUUGGAAACAAUGAAUUUUAUUUGCAACUAAUCCAAAUGAAUGAUAUUAGCAAAACGCUUCGAAUAACGAGUUUAAAGUCUCCAGAGCUCACCAGAGCUAGUUGGGUGUGUAUUUUGAAGAUAUAAUAUCCACACAACCUCAACUUGUGUGGUAUGGUUACUUAUGAUCUUUUUCUAUCUUUAUUCCAUUAAUAUUAAUGCAAACUAUAUAUAUAUAUAUAUAUAUAAUCAUGCACAUUUGGAUUAAUAUUGUUUGUAACUGUAAGAACAACUAAUAAAAUUACAUAAUCAACCCAUAAAAAAAACCAACAGCAGUUAAAUUCAAUAAAAAAAAAACUAGCAGUUAAAAUAGCAACAAUGGUUAAAAAAAAACAACAUAAAUUAGAGAAAUGGAAAGUUUCUUCCAGGGCAGAAAUCAGAGAAAUCAACACAUUAGUGCCCAUCAUAGCAGAGGGCGUCCAAGACAAGUAUUUUCCAGUAAACUUAUCAUACUCAUCAAGCAACUAGUAAUUUCCACUUUAAAAAGUGAAGAAAUUAGAUAUCUAACUAAUCCAUAAAUUCAGGAUAUCAAAAAUCUUGACAAUUACAUAAAUUUUUUUCUACUACUUAUUUAGAUUCCAGUUCUUGUUCUGAGAUUACCAAAAGUAUUAACGCAGAUGAAACCAAGUUUCCAGUAUAGAGCCACUGUUUAGAACUUCACUUCUCAAUUAGUAAAGGCAACAGCCCAAUGCUAUGCUAGCCUUUCCGUCUGAGAAAGAGAUGAGGUUAUUCAGAUUUUGAAAUAAUGCUAGUGACAUGGGUAGUUUAAGCCAAAACAUAAUUUUAAAAUAAUCGAUAAUUAGUCCAGCAUGUUGUCCUUAAUCUCUUGAACAUGAUAUUCCUUCUCAUCUACUUUUUUCUUCCCAAUGAUAAAUGAACUUCAUCACAUGGCCAUGAUUAAUUCAAACAAACAAAAUUAAUUCAAAGAGAAGUGUAUUAACCGAAGAUAAAAUAAAUUAAUUCAAAGAAACAAAAUUAUCACAUGGCAAUAACUGAGAAUAAAAUGAAAACUAUUUGUGCGUACUUAUUUUUUGAAUGGGAACAGAGAUGAGACUUAGAAUCAAUUAAAUCCAACCCUAAGUUGAUUAAAAGAAUAAUUAAUUCAAGCAUAACCCUAAAAUUAUCUAAAUUAGAAUGAGAGAAGUAAGAAAAAUCAAAAUUAAAGAAAAAAACAUGUCGAUACAUAACUACUAAACUAAUAAGCCAAUACAAAACCCUAGAUCUAGCAAAUAAAUCAAAAUCAAUUGAAAGCUAAUGGUUCACCAAAAAAUAAACAACAUCAUAGAAUAGCAAUCAGAUCAAUCAAAAUAAACGGCGUAUAGAUCACAGAAAAAUCAAAUCAAAUCAAAUCAAAAGAAUAUAAUAUAAGAAAAAGAGGAAGUAAAGACCUAGCUGAACUUGUGCGUGUUGUUCAUCGGCAAGUAGUAGCAGCAGCAGGUCGAAGAGUAAGGAUGAAGACAUAUAAGAUUCAAGACGUUUGGAAACUAAGAAAAUAUUGAGAGAAAAUAAGAAGAUUCUGGAAAUUUGUUUUCUACUUCAUUCAUCAAAAAUUACAAAAGAAACUGUACACAACUAAUUUUGCUUAGCUAACUAAACAUGCUAAACAUGCUAAACAUGCUUAAUAGCUACUAUAACAAAACGAAAACUAAUAUUCACGUGUACAAGAAACUAUAUAACCACCAGGUGCCAGCUGGCAUGCCAAGUCAUCAACUUGUAACUGUGAAUUGCAACUGUUACAAUCCUAUGCUUUGCUGACCAUUUUGCUCAAAUGAGAUUCCUUAACAAAGACGAAGACGAAGAGUAGCAAUUUGUUGUCGGCAAAUAGCGCAGUAGAGGACCAAAUUUUUUGUCAGCAGCGUG
RNAcentral lists this long non-coding RNA (2694 nucleotides) under Citrus maxima (pomelo). RNAcentral describes it as "long non-coding RNA (CMAX_LNC001395)". Lineage: Eukaryota; Viridiplantae; Streptophyta; Magnoliopsida; Sapindales; Rutaceae. The record is from RNAcentral.